CCUCCCCCUCUUCCCCUCCCUCCUCCUUCCUCCCUGUGCUGGUCUCUGUGGUGGCGGCUGGUCUCUCGUUCGCUCUGGUCUCUCUGGUCUCUCUGCUGGUGGUGCUGCUCCUCAGGAAGAGACAUAAAGAGAGACCCUCUCCAGCAGAGCCUGUCUACUCAGCAGUGAGGACAGAUAAAGGUUCAGCAGGAGCCAGUUUGACCUACUGUGUGUGUUCCAGAGAAGCCCCUCCCCCCAGAGCCUGAUGUCAUCUACUCCUCAGUGAGACCAGGCUGAGCUGCAGGUACCAAACCACAUCCCCACUCUGGACCAGUACCACCA
Long non-coding RNA from Osmerus eperlanus (European smelt), 321 nucleotides. RefSeq lists it as uncharacterized. NCBI's taxonomy places the organism in Eukaryota, Metazoa, Chordata, Actinopteri, Osmeriformes, Osmeridae. The record is from RefSeq and is a predicted model, not a curated record. The transcript has 3 exons.